This 500-nucleotide ribosomal RNA is filed under the name Obelia longissima. RNAcentral's name for it is "partial 16S ribosomal RNA". It matches the Rfam family "Bacterial large subunit ribosomal RNA", at positions 1880 to 2540 of the family's 2925-position model. The record is from RNAcentral. Lineage: Eukaryota; Metazoa; Cnidaria; Hydrozoa; Leptothecata; Obeliidae.
GGUUUUUAAUUAAUAAUUUAAAAAAUUAAAAAUAAAACUAAAAGGACGCGGUAACCUUGACCGUGAUAAUGUAGCAUAAUCACUCGCCAUUUAAUUGAUGGAUAGUAUGAAUGGUUGAACGAAUAUUCCACUGUCUUAGAAAGAAUUAAAAGAAAUUGAAAUAAUAGUUAAGAUGCUAUUUUAAACUGUAAGACGAAAAGACCCUAUAGAGCUUAACUAUAACCUCUUUUUAACCUAAAAAAAUUGUUUUUAAUAUUAUAGAGGUUGGUAGUUUAGUUGGGGCGACUGUCUUCUACAUUAAACGAAGACAAGCAAAAUUAAUAAAAAAUUUAUUGUAUAAUAAAAUCAUUUAACAAUUACUAUAGUAGGCUAUAUUGACCCGUUUUUACUACGUAAUAAGAAAAACGAUCAAUUGAUAAAAGCUACCUUAGGGAUAACAGGAUAAUUUCAUUUUAGAGUUCAUAUCGAAAAUGAAGUUUGUCACCUCUAUGUUGAAUUAA